GACGAACGCUGGCGGCGUGCUUAACACAUGCAAGUCGAACGGAAAGGCCCUGCUUUUGUGGGGUGCUCGAGUGGCGAACGGGUGAGUAACACGUGAGUAACCUGCCCUUGACUUUGGGAUAACUUCAGGAAACUGGGGCUAAUACCGGAUAGGAGCUCCUGCUGCAUGGUGGGGGUUGGAAAGUUUCGGCGGUUGGGGAUGGACCCGCGGCUUAUCAGCUUGUUGGUGGGGUAGUGGCUUACCAAGGCUUUGACGGGUAGCCGGCCUGAGAGGGUGACCGGCCACAUUGGGACUGAGAUACGGCCCAGACUCCUACGGGAGGCAGCAGUGGGGAAUAUUGCACAAUGGGCGGAAGCCUGAUGCAGCAACGCCGCGUGCGGGAUGACGGCCUUCGGGUUGUAAACCGCUUUCGCCUGCGACGAAGCGUGAGUGACGGUAAUGGGUAAAGAAGCACCGGCUAACUACGUG
Molecule: ribosomal RNA, 468 nt
Filed under: uncultured bacterium
Lineage: Bacteria
Description: partial 16S ribosomal RNA
Rfam family: Bacterial small subunit ribosomal RNA
Source: RNAcentral